Molecule: ribosomal RNA, 424 nt
Filed under: uncultured bacterium
Lineage: Bacteria
Description: bacterial SSU rRNA
Rfam family: Bacterial small subunit ribosomal RNA
Source: RNAcentral
GGGCCCGCACAAGCGGUGGAGCAUGUGGUUUAAUUCGAUGAUACGCGAGGAACCUUACCAGGGCUUAAAUGCAGAACGACAGAUUUGGAAACAGAUCCUUCUUCGGACGGACUGCAAGGUGCUGCAUGGUUGUCGUCAGCUCGUGCCGUGAGGUGUCAGGUUAAGUCCUAUAACGAGCGCAACCCCUACUGUUAGUUGCCAGCGAGUAAUGUCGGGGACUCUAACAGAACUGCCGGCGUAAGCCGCGAGGAAGGUGGGGAUGACGUCAAAUCAUCACGGCCCUUACGUCCUGGGCUACACACGUGCUACAAUGGUGCGGACAAAGAGCAGCCACCUGGUGACAGGGAGCUAAUCUCCAAACCGCAUCUCAGUUCGGAUCGAAGUCUGCAACUCGACUUCGUGAAGCUGGAAUCGCUAGUAAUCG